GAUUAACGCUGGCGGCGUGCAUAACACAUGCAAGUCGAACGAUGAAACUUAGUAGACUUCUUCGGAAAGACACUAAGCGGCUUAGUGGCGAACGGGUGAGUCACGCGUGAGUAACCUGCCUUACACAAGGGGAUAGCCUUUGGAAACGAAGAAUAAUACCCUAUAAAACCAUAAAAGCACAUGCUAGAAUGGUCAAAGUGAUAGCGGUGUAAGAUGGACUUGCGUCUGAUUAGCUAGUUGGUGAGAUAAAAGCUCACCAAGGCAACGAUCAGUAGCCGGCUUGAGAGAGUGUACGGCCACAUUGGGACUGAGACACGGCCCAGACUCCUACGGGAGGCAGCAGUGGGGAAUUUUGCACAAUGGGGGAAACCCUGAUGCAGCGACGCCGCGUGAUUUAGAAGGCCUUCGGGUUGUAAAAAUCUUUUGUAUAGGAAGAAAAUGACAGUACUAUACGAAUAAGGUCCGGCUAAUUACGUG
RNAcentral lists this ribosomal RNA (477 nucleotides) under uncultured bacterium. RNAcentral describes it as "partial 16S ribosomal RNA". It matches the Rfam family "Bacterial small subunit ribosomal RNA", at positions 28 to 507 of the family's 1533-position model. The record is from RNAcentral.